UGGGGAAUAUUUGGCAAUGGGUGUAAGCCUGACCAAGCAAUGCCGCGUGGAGGAAGAAGGCUUUCGAGUUGUAAUCUCCUUUUCUCAAAGAAGAAAUCUUGACGGUAUUUGAGGAAUAAGCAUCGACUAACUUCGUGCCAGCAGUCGCGGUAAUACGAGGGAUGCAAGCGUUAUCCGGAAUUAUUGGGCGUAAAGCGUCUGUAGAUGGUUAAACAAGUUUAAUGUUAAAUAUUAAAGCUUAACUUUGAAAUGGCAUUAAAAACUGUUAGACUGGAGUAUAUUAGGGGUAGAGGGAAUUUUCAGUGUAGUGGUGAAAUACGUAGAUAUUGAAAAGAACACCAAUGGCGAAAGCACUCUGCUAGGUUAAUACUGACAUUGAGAGACGAAAGCUAAGGGAGCA
RNAcentral lists this ribosomal RNA (400 nucleotides) under uncultured bacterium. RNAcentral's name for it is "bacterial SSU rRNA". It matches the Rfam family "Bacterial small subunit ribosomal RNA", at positions 355 to 770 of the family's 1533-position model. The record is from RNAcentral.